Molecule: ribosomal RNA, 854 nt
Filed under: uncultured marine bacterium
Lineage: Bacteria
Description: bacterial SSU rRNA
Rfam family: Bacterial small subunit ribosomal RNA
Source: RNAcentral
AGUACCGCGUAUACAAUCUGCCUCAUACUAGGGGAUAGCCCGAAGAAAAUUUGGAUUAAUACCCUAUAGUAUCUUUUUAAGGCAUCUUAAAAAGAUUAAAGGUUACGGUAUGAGAUGAGUAUGCGUUCUAUUAGCUAGUAGGUGUGGUAACGGCACACCUAGGCUACGAUAGAUAGGGGCCCUGAGAGGGGGAUCCCCCACACUGGUACUGAGACACGGACCAGACUCCUACGGGAGGCAGCAGUGAGGAAUAUUGGACAAUGGGCGAAAGCCUGAUCCAGCCAUGCCGCGUGCAGGAUGACUGCCCUAUGGGUUGUAAACUGCUUUUAUAUAGGAAGAAAAACUUUCUCGUGAGAAAGCUUGACGGUACUAUAAGAAUAAGGAUCGGCUAACUCCGUGCCAGCAGCCGCGGUAAUACGGAGGAUCCAAGCGUUAUCCGGAAUCAUUGGGUUUAAAGGGUCCGUAGGUGGACAAAUAAGUCAGAGGUGAAAUCCUGCAGCUCAACUGUAGAACUGCCUUUGAAACUGUUUGUCUUGAGUUAUUAUGAAGUGGUUAGAAUGUGUAGUGUAGCGGUGAAACGCAUAGAUUUUACACAGAAUACCGAUUGCGAAGGCAGAUCACUAAUAAUUAACUGACACUGAGGGACGAAAGCGUGGGUAGCGAACAGGAUUAGAUACCCUGGUAGUCCACGCCGUAAACGAUGGUCACUAGCUGUUUGGACUUCGGUCUGAGUGGCUAAGCGAAAGUGAUAAGUGACCCACCUGGGGAGUACGUUCGCAAGAAUGAAACUCAAAGGAAUUGACGGGGGCCCGCACAAGCGGUGGAGCAUGUGGUUUAAUUCGAUGAUACGCGAG